This 495-nucleotide ribosomal RNA is filed under the name uncultured bacterium. Its description in RNAcentral is "partial 16S ribosomal RNA". It matches the Rfam family "Bacterial small subunit ribosomal RNA", at positions 28 to 507 of the family's 1533-position model. The record is from RNAcentral.
GAUGAACGCUGGCGGCGUGCUUAACACAUGCAAGUCGAACGAAGCACCUCUCCCGAAGAUUGACACAGCUUGCUGUAGAUUGAUUCAUUUGAGGUGACUGAGUGGCGGACGGGUGAGUAACGCGUGGGUAACCUGCCUCAUAGAGGGGGACAACAGUUGGAAACGACUGCUAAUACCGCAUAGUAAGAAGAAUUCGCAUGUUUUCUUCUUGAAAGAUUUAUCGUUAUGAGAUGGACCCGCGUCUGAUUAGCUAGUUGGUAAGGUAACGGCUUACCAAGGCGACGAUCAGUAGCCGGCUUGAGAGAGUGAACGGCCACAUUGGGACUGAGACACGGCCCAAACUCCUACGGGAAGCAGCAGUGGGGAAUAUUGCACAAUGGGGGAAACCCUGAUGCAGCGACGCCGCGUGAGUGAAGAAGUAUUUCGGUAUGUAAAGCUCUAUCAGCAGGGAAGAUAAUGACGGUACCUGACUAAGAAGCCCCGGCUAACUACGUG